UGGGGAAUUUUGGACAAUGGGCGCAAGCCUGAUCCAGCCAUGCCGCGUGCGGGAAGAAGGCCUUCGGGUUGUAAACCGCUUUUGUCAGGGAAGAAAUCUUCUGAGUUAAUACCUCGGGAGGAUGACGGUACCUGAAGAAUAAGCACCGGCUAACUACGUGCCAGCAGCCGCGGUAAUACGUAGGGUGCAAGCGUUAAUCGGAAUUACUGGGCGUAAAGCGUGCGCAGGCGGUUUUGUAAGACAGAGGUGAAAUCCCCGGGCUCAACCUGGGAACUGCCUUUGUGACUGCAAGGCUUGAGUGCGGCAGAGGGGGGAUGGAAUUCCGCGUGUAGCAGUGAAAUGCGUAGAUAUGCGGAGGAACACCGAUGGCGAAGGCAAUUCCCCCUGGGGCCUGCACUGACGCUCAUGCACGAAAGCGUGGGGAGCAAACAGGAUUAGAUACCCCUGGUAGUCCACGCCCUAAACGAUGUCAACUGGUUGUUGGGGAAGGUUCCUUCUCAGUAACGUAGCUAACGCGUGAAGUUGACCGCCUGGGGAGUACGGCCGCAAGGUUGAAACUUAAAUGAAUUGACGGGGUCAUAGCUGUUUCCUG
RNAcentral lists this ribosomal RNA (592 nucleotides) under uncultured bacterium. Its description in RNAcentral is "partial 16S ribosomal RNA". It matches the Rfam family "Bacterial small subunit ribosomal RNA", at positions 355 to 1376 of the family's 1533-position model. The record is from RNAcentral.